Long non-coding RNA from Lolium rigidum, 855 nucleotides. RefSeq lists it as uncharacterized. NCBI's taxonomy places the organism in Eukaryota, Viridiplantae, Streptophyta, Magnoliopsida, Poales, Poaceae. The transcript is spliced from 3 exons. The record is from RefSeq and is a predicted model, not a curated record.
CUGUGUUGAGAUUUUUUUAUUGUUGGAUUGUUAUUUUCUGUUCUCUAAGUUAAAUAUAUUUGAAAAAAGGUACAAGAAAUUUAUGCAUUGAUACAACAUGAGCAUGACCAAUAGAUGCAUGUAUAGAUGGAAUGGUAAGGAGUGUUUGUACCAUUUAGACAAGAUUAUUUUUGGUCUUGCUUACCUACAAUAAGCUCAGUUGAGUAAUCUUGAUUUUUUCAGUCGAAUUUGAAUGAAUGGAAGAGUUAUCAAUUGACAAGCCUGGCCAAGCUAAUGAAAAUGCUGCAAUACUUGGGUUAUUGGUUUCACGGAAAUAGUUGAUUGGCAAUACACAAAGCACAAGUAAAGCAUCACGUUGGCUGCAUCUUAGAGAGGGUAGCUGGAGGUAUUUUCAACUUGGUAGCAACAGCCCGCAUAGGCAAUCAGCCUUGAUGUAAUGGAUGGGGACGGUUGCACCGACCUGGAGACAGUAAAAGGAGGCAUUUGGGCAUGCUGAUGCAAUUUUCUAGGGAAUGCAUAGAACAAAGAUUGAUAAUUUGGAAUCCAUUGCUGGAGCGGGGAUCAUGCUCAGGAAACCAGUUGCAGAUUGCUGCAAAUGACAGUUGCAAACGUGCGGUGCUUAAGCUACCUACGGCAGCUGGUGUAUUUCCAGACACGAUCUAUUCAGCUUAGAUUAGAUAACUGCUACACUGUAUGUGUUUUUUAAUAACAGUUGAUUCCAUCUUAUGCCAUCUCAAUAGUUUUCUCAAUAGUUUUCUUUUUGUACAUCGUGUUGCCAUGUGUGGCUGUAACCAAUGUAGUGAAGACUAUCCUUUGUCUCAUCUAUCCUUAAUUAUUUCUAACUGUUUUAACCAA